RNAcentral lists this ribosomal RNA (474 nucleotides) under uncultured bacterium. RNAcentral's name for it is "partial 16S ribosomal RNA". It matches the Rfam family "Bacterial small subunit ribosomal RNA", at positions 28 to 507 of the family's 1533-position model. The record is from RNAcentral.
GACGAACGCUGGCGGCGUGCUUAACACAUGCAAGUCGAACGGUAAGGCCCUUCGUGGUACCCGAGUGGCGAACGGGUGAGUAACACGUGGGUAAUCUGCCCUGCACAUCGGGAUAAGCCUGGGAAACUGGGUCUAAUACCGAAUAGGACCACAGGACACAUGUCCUGUGGUGGAAAGCUUUUGCGGUGUGGGAUGGGCCCGCGGCCUAUCAGCUUGUUGGUGGGGUGAUGGCCUACCAAGGCGACGACGGGUAGCCGGCCUGAGAGGGUGUCCGGCCACACUGGGACUGAGAUACGGCCCAGACUCCUACGGGAGGCAGCAGUGGGGAAUAUUGCACAAUGGGCGAAAGCCUGAUGCAGCGACGCCGCGUGGGGGAUGACGGCCUUCGGGUUGUAAACCUCUUUCACCAUCGACGAAGGUCCGGGUUUUCUCGGGCUGACGGUAGGUGGAGAAGAAGCACCGGCCAACUACGUG